Molecule: long non-coding RNA, 591 nt
Filed under: Pongo abelii (Sumatran orangutan)
Lineage: Eukaryota; Metazoa; Chordata; Mammalia; Primates; Hominidae
Description: lincRNA
Source: RNAcentral
AUAUCCAGUCUCCAUGAAACGAUGAGAACAGCUGUCCUGAAAUGACAGAGCAAGAAACCUGUGUAGCAACAGCCUCAGAGAGGCCCCUUAAUUUACCUUCUCUACUAUGAAAAAUCAGAUUUUGUGAACAAUUUGGCAUGAGGAGAGAAAGGAACCUGAAGUUUUUAGCAAGGAAGGGCCCUGAUGGUGGUUGCCUUCAACAUUGCCUCAAUACUCAACAUCCAAGACAGCCCUGGCUUAGCAACUGGAAUAAUGGAUGGGGAAAAUUUUUUCUCAAGCACAUGUGAAAUUUGGCUGUCAGACCACCUUCUUCUGCACAGAAAGCUAAAUGUAUUGCCUAGUUUUGCAACUUCAUAUGACUGUUCGCCAAACUGGAAUAAUUGUUGUAUUUGUGUGUGACUUCUCAGUAUUCCUAUGGCAUUACCACCAUAGAACCCCUAUGUCAAAUGGUGAAAGAAUUAGAUGGGGUUUUGCUAACUUUUAGAGUAACUUUGUUUUUUUGCAUCAACAUUCAAGAAGCACUCCUUCCCUUCCACUGCAGUAGAACCUUGAGGUCCCUCUCAGAUUUCUGUGGGGUGUCUGUGGUCUGCU